This is a non-coding RNA of Misgurnus anguillicaudatus (oriental weatherfish), 3223 nucleotides long. The record is from RefSeq and is a predicted model, not a curated record. Lineage: Eukaryota; Metazoa; Chordata; Actinopteri; Cypriniformes; Cobitidae.
GUUACUCAGUUGUCCAUGCUCCUACAAAUUCUACAUUUUUUGUAAAGCUGCAACAAGUUGAAACCCUAUAAUUAUUAACAUUUGAUUUUGAAUGAUGUAAUUCAAAUACAUGAAUAAGUAACAAAAGCAGAAAUAUAUUAAUUAAGACAUUACCUUUUUGUUGAUUGUUUACUGAUCUAUAAAUCAUUUUGCAUUCUCAUAAUUGAUCAUCAUAACUUGGUAUACAGUGGAUGUGUGGCUGUAGAUAACUUUCUGAAGUCAAUUUAAAAAGGCAAAAGUUAAUAAAUGCUAAAUUGGUCAAAUAUACAUUGUUGUAUUUUCACCAUUUUGAUCUUAUUUAGGCAUUUCAUAACUUGAGGGAAAUUUACGUAUACUGAUGUUUCAAAUCAAAUAUGAAUUUAUUAAUGACAGCUAAUCAUUUUAUAAAGAUUUUUUAUAACAAUAUUUAUUUAUAUAAUAUCAAUUUAAUACAUUUAUUUCGUUACACCUACAUCACUGAGCGCAAGGGAGUGCAGCCAACAAAUACAUUCAGGUGUGUUUGACUUAACACCGAGAUGCGCAGACAGCACGUGGUAUGACAUCAAGUACCGCGAGAGUUUGGGAAAGCCCCGGAAAAGGUUUGAACUCGCGGUACUUGAUGUCACGAUCGGUUUGCGAGUAGAUCAGCAUGAAGUCAAACACAUCUGAGAGAUGUGUGGGCUGCCUGCACUCAACGUUGGGAUCAUUCAAUAGAGUGUAACCUCAAUCGGUUUUUGCAGCUUCUGGGUCCCGUGUAGAACGAUUUUUUGUUCUUUUCCAACUCGAUUUUUAACUCCCUAAACUAGUAGGAUGUUCCAACGGGUGAAGCAACAGUGCUGACGGCAGUUUCAGUGUCAAGUUUUCAUGCCAUGACCACUGGGGCGGAAACCAUUAUGACAUUGCCUUGGACAUCAAACUAAACCAUCUCAUUCUGGCUUUUGAGGUGGAUUCUAACCUCGAAAUCUCAGAAGGACAGGUCUAAGAUGGACGCAGCCUCCAUAGGAUGCAACCUUGCAUUUGAGAAACACCCAUAGAACGGUCAACUUACCCCAUACUCUAACCUGAAUGCAGGGAUCAUAAAACUUUAUCUUUUACCUUAAUUGUUAGAUGGGUGUUGAUACCAAACUUUUUUUUCUCGUCUACCCAAGAGAAAGUCAUGGGUUCUGCUGCUAAGGUUGUCAUAAAAAUUCUGGCUUGAUGUUUGGUCCACCUGUUAGCUGGCUCUGGUGCUUGGUAGUCUUCUCAAACCUCUGAAUCAAGACCACCAUGAGAGGCCUUCUGAAGACCAUCAUUACGCUUCAGAUCCAGUUGUCUUUACUUUGAGAUAGAACUGAACUGGAGUCUAUGAACUAAUGCUGUGUUCGAGACAACUUGGAUGUUGGAUAUUAUUGACCUUAAACCCGUAAGAAGUCAGGAACAGGAAACAAAGUGGAGUAUCCGACCUCUCAACUUGGACCAGAUCGAUCAACACCGACCUCAACGAGAUGCGUCAUUUGACAUUGCAGACAAGGUGGUGGCUAGCCUUUCACAGCCUUACAUGAACCGCAAACAAACUUUAAACAGCACGUAAUAUAGAUGAACAUGAAUGUUAAAUUAUCCAGUAACCGUUUUCUGCCAUAAUUGGCACAAGAGCACAAACUUCUCCUGGCGUCUCAUUAUGUGGUAAACACGCAAAUGUGAUACGUGAUUGACUGGAAUGCAUUGAGGUCGGAGGUAGGAUAUUUAAUGACAUAACAUCAGAAAUCAGAGUUGUCUGUAACACUGCACAAUAUUUCACCUAAUUGUUAGCACCUGAUUAUCAUGUUUUUAACACAACCAUUGAUUGGUCACACGGAUGAAGGCAGCAAGCAGAGACAUUUGUCCUUUGUAUCUCUCUCAAAAAAAUUAAUCUAUAUUUAAUGUUAAAAAACACUUACAGUAGACUGUGUUAGAUAACUGUGCUCUUGGAAGUCAGCUUAAGUGAACAAAUGGUAAUGUUAAUGAAAAGUUCAUUUUUGUCACUGUUGCAAACUAACCACCACACAGAAUAUGAAGAAUAGCCAGAACUGUGGUAAUAAGCUAGCCCUAAAAUGUUGGGAGAAUCUUGAUGUAUUGGACACAGGUGUGUAGUAUCUGUUAUAUAUUGACGGUUGACAGGUUUGUUUGCAUGUAAUUGCAUUAUUAAUUUGGUGUUGAUAGUCCAAUGUUGAUUUGGGAGAAAUAUUUAAUUUCUUUUCUUUUUAGAUCCUUUCUCUUUUUAAUGCAGCACUUAAGGAUGAACCACCCUGAUCUACUAAGAUGCACAGAUUCAACUCUGGCCCAGCAUCAUCCCCAUACCUCAUCUGCCAUCAGUUCAAUUUAAUGUCUGUCAAUUGCAAAUGGUAUUUAUUUCAGUUAUAUUACAGCUUAAUAUUAAAGGAAUAGUCUACCCUUUUGCCAUAUUAAACUAUGUUAUUACCUCAACCUAGAUGAAUUAAUACAUACCUAUCUUUUUUCAAUGCGUGCACCGUACAGCGCGUUGUGAAUGUGUUAGCAUUUAGCCUAGCCCCAUUCAUUCCUAAGGUACCAAAAAAGUUUUAUUUUGUGGCACCAUACUUACUGGUAUAACUCCUCAUGUAACAGUCUUAAAAUAGGGAAAACACGAAAGUGUUUGGUGGCUUCCCUGUUUGGUACCAUAGGAAUGAAUGGGGCUAGGCUAAAUGCUAACACAUUCACGACGCGCUGUACAGUGCACAAUAGAUAUGUAUUAAUUCGUCUAAGUUGAGGUAAUAACAUAGUUUAAUAUGGCAAAAGGGUAGACUAUUCCUUUAACUUUAAUUGAGACUAGUAUUGUGUAAAGCUGGGGUUUCCAAACUUCUCAUUUCAAAACCUAUUAGACAACUGUAAUCUAUUCUAGACCCACUAAAAUAUUUUUAAAUAUACAUUUUUUAAUGGGGUAAAACACAUUUGUUCUCUUUCAGUGGAGUCAUUUUAUUUUCAUAAUAUUUCAUAAUGUAAAGUAAAUAUAAGUUUAUUUGCAAUACCAAAUAUUUUAUGGUAUAUUCUUUCAAAACCAUUGUCAUUGUUAAUUAUUAAUUUGGCCAAACUGUUGUUGCAUCAUUACGGUGUGCAACACACCUUAACCUACUGUGUGACGGACAAGUAGGUCCUCCUGACACACAAUUUAAAAUCCCCUGGUGUACCGAAUGUUGUAUUGUAAUUAAAGUUGCAUCUAAGUCUUGUGUAA